AACGAACGCUGGCGGCAGGCCUAACACAUGCAAGUCGAACGCCCUGGCAACAGGGAGUGGCAGACGGGUGAGUAACGCGUGGGAACGUGCCCUUCGGUUCGGAAUAACUCAGGGAAACUUGAGCUAAUACCGGAUACGUGCGAGAGCAGAAAGAUUUAUCGCCGAAGGAUCGGCCCGCGUCCGAUUAGCUAGUUGGUGAGGUAAUGGCUCACCAAGGCGACGAUCGGUAGCUGGUCUGAGAGGAUGAUCAGCCACACUGGGACUGAGACACGGCCCAGACUCCUCCGGGAAGCAGCAGUGGGGAAUAUUGGACAAUGGGCGCAAGCCUGAUCCAUCCAUGCCGCGUGAGUGAUGAAGGCCCUAGGGUUGUAAAGCUCUUUCGCCAGGGACGAUAAUGACGGUACCUGGAUAAGAAGCCCCGGCUAACUUCGUGCCAGCAGCCGCCGUAA
RNAcentral lists this ribosomal RNA (449 nucleotides) under uncultured bacterium. RNAcentral's name for it is "partial 16S ribosomal RNA". It matches the Rfam family "Bacterial small subunit ribosomal RNA", at positions 29 to 523 of the family's 1533-position model. The record is from RNAcentral.